Molecule: ribosomal RNA, 253 nt
Filed under: uncultured bacterium
Lineage: Bacteria
Description: partial 16S ribosomal RNA
Rfam family: Bacterial small subunit ribosomal RNA
Source: RNAcentral
UACGUAGGGGGCAAGCGUUGUCCGGAAUCAUUGGGCGUAAAGCGCGUGUAGGCGGCCAGAAAAGUCCGCUGUGAAAACUCGAGGCUCAACUUCGAGCUGUCGGUGGAAACUUUCUGGCUAGAGUCCGGAAGAGGAGAAUGGAAUUCCUGGUGUAGCGGUGAAAUGCGCAGAUAUCAGGAAGAACACCUGUGGCGAAGGCGGUUCUCUGGGACGGUACUGACGCUGAGGAGCGAAAGCGUGGGGAGCGAACAGG